This 407-nucleotide ribosomal RNA is filed under the name uncultured Streptococcus sp. RNAcentral describes it as "bacterial SSU rRNA". It matches the Rfam family "Bacterial small subunit ribosomal RNA", at positions 973 to 1382 of the family's 1533-position model. The record is from RNAcentral. Lineage: Bacteria; Bacillati; Bacillota; Bacilli; Lactobacillales; Streptococcaceae.
ACCAGGUCUUGACAUCCCGAUGCUAUUUCUAGAGAUAGAAAGUUACUUCGGUACAUCGGUGACAGGUGGUGCAUGGUUGUCGUCAGCUCGUGUCGUGAGAUGUUGGGUUAAGUCCCGCAACGAGCGCAACCCCUAUUGUUAGUUGCCAUCAUUCAGUUUGGGCACUCUAGCGAGACUGCCGGUAAUAAACCGGAGGAAGUGGGAUGACGUCAAAUCAUCAUGCCCCUUAUGACCUGGGCUACACACGUGCUACAAUGGUUGGUACAACGAGUUGCGAGUCGGUGACGGCGAGCUAAUCUCUUAAAGCCAAUCUCAGUUCGGAUUGUAGGCUGCAACUCGCCUACAUGAAGUCGGAAUCGCUAGUAAUCGCGGAUCAGCACGCCGCGGUGAAUACGUUCCCGGGCCUU